AUGAACGCUAGCGACAGGCCUAACACAUGCAAGUCGAGGGGCAGCACAUGAGUAGCAAUACGAUGGUGGCGACCGGCGCACGGGUGAGUAACACGUAUGCAACCUACCUGUAAGAGGGGGAUAACCCGGAGAGAUUCGGAUUAAUACCGCAUAAUACUGUUGAACUGCAUGGUUUAACGGUUAAACAUUUAUGGUUUACAGAUGGGCAUGCGUAUGAUUAGUUAGUUGGUGAGGUAACGGCUCACCAAGACAACGAUCAUUAGGGG
Molecule: ribosomal RNA, 266 nt
Filed under: uncultured bacterium
Lineage: Bacteria
Description: partial 16S ribosomal RNA
Rfam family: Bacterial small subunit ribosomal RNA
Source: RNAcentral